Molecule: long non-coding RNA, 1201 nt
Organism: Beta vulgaris subsp. vulgaris (sugar beet)
Lineage: Eukaryota; Viridiplantae; Streptophyta; Magnoliopsida; Caryophyllales; Amaranthaceae
Exons: 2
Source: RefSeq, a predicted model, not a curated record
UUAGGUUUUUAGUUUCGGUUUCAUUGAUUUUUACGGUUCAUCUAUUUGAUUUUUCGGUUGAAAUCUAUGAUUUUUUGGGUUAUUAGAUUCAUUAUUUAGGGUAUUUCUGGGUUCAAUUCGUUGAUUUGGGGUUUUUACCGUUCGAAUCUAUGAUUUUGGGGGUUUAAUUGGGUUCGUUUUUGUUAUUCUCAUAGUUUUUGAUUGUAGGUUCAAUUUCUGGGAGAUUCGAAUUUUUUUUUUGGAGUGAUUUGUUCGAGUUAAUGGGGGAUAUUUGGGUUCGGUUAAGUGGUUUUUGGAGGUGGUUAGGGUUUGAGUUGAUUAUUUAUGGUUUUUUUCUCGAUUUUCAGGGUUUUUUUUGUGUAAGAUUUUGUAAAUUUGGUUGAAUUUAGGUGAUAUUGGUCGAAUUUGGAUUAAAUUUUGGUCGAAGUUUGGUGAAUUUUGUUCAAUUCUGGGUUUGUUGGUUUAAAUUUUCUGUGCAUCUUCAUUCCUACCUUUGUUUUGAUUUUCGUUCAAUUUCUUAUGCAUUUUAGUAUUUUGGAAGUUGAUUUUUUGAUGAAUUUGGUUCGAAUUUUUGAUCCAGAUUAGUUAUACUAGAGUUUAUUGAUGAAUUUGGUUCGAAUGUGAUGAAUUUGGUUGGAAGUUUUGAUGAAUUUGCUCGAUUUAUUUUGUCAUUUCUGGUAUUAAUGUUUUCUGUUACUUGUUCAUUGCUAGUUACAAAAGUCUUGAGUCAGACUCUAAUUCUCAUUUAUUUGAAUUAGCUUAAUUGUUUCCAAGGUUUUCUUCUUCUCCUCCUUUCUUUUUCCCAACUGUCAGUUGUGUUCUUAACUGUGUUCUUAUUUGUCUUUUGAGAUGAUGUUCUUUGUUUGUUUGUUUUCAUUUUCUCGGAAAAAUUUCCUGUUUUUCAUUUGGAUUUUUUAUGGUGUAAUACAGGUGGGCAAAGGGUUAUAUUUAAAGCGCAGAAGUUGGCAUUUCAGCAUUGGAUUGAGGCUGAUCUGUUUUGAAGAUUUUGGGUGAUGAAGAUUUGGCAUGAAGAUUAUGUAGAUGAUGUUGUUUUUUUCCCUUUUAUUAAUUUUGUAAUUUGAUGAACUUUCCUUAGUUGUAGUCUUGUAAAUUUUAGUUGUUAUGUAUUUUUUGUGGUUUUAUUAAUUGUAUGUAUGUUUAAUUAUUUAGAAAUCAUUAAUAAAAAUUUAGUUUAUAUAAA